Meriones unguiculatus (Mongolian gerbil) is the source of this 104-nucleotide small nuclear RNA. The record is from Ensembl. Lineage: Eukaryota; Metazoa; Chordata; Mammalia; Rodentia; Muridae.
GCGCUGGCUUCAGCAGCACAUGUGCUAUAAUUGGAAAGAUACAGAGAUUAGCAUGAACCCUGCACAAGGAUGACGCGCAAAUUCGUGAAGCCUUCCACAUUCUU